Molecule: transfer RNA, 68 nt
Filed under: Sphaerodactylus townsendi
Lineage: Eukaryota; Metazoa; Chordata; Lepidosauria; Squamata; Sphaerodactylidae
Description: tRNA-Ala
Rfam family: tRNA
About the family: Transfer RNA (tRNA) molecules are approximately 80 nucleotides in length.
Source: RNAcentral
GUAUAGCUCAGUGGCAGAGAACCUGCUUUGCAUGCAGAAGGUUCUAGGUUCAACCCCCAGCAUCUCCA